AUUGAACGCUGGCGGCAUGCCUUACACAUGCAAGUCGAACGGCAGCGGACCUUCGGGUGCCGGCGAGUGGCGAACGGGUGAGUAAUAUAUCGGAACGUACCUUUCAGUGGGGGAUAACGUAGCGAAAGUUACGCUAAUACCGCAUAUUCUGUGAGCAGGAAAGCAGGGGAUCGCAAGACCUUGCGCUGAUUGAGCGGCCGAUAUCAGAUUAGCUAGUUGGUGAGGUAAAGGCUCACCAAGGCGACGAUCUGUAGCGGGUCUGAGAGGAUGAUCCGCCACACUGGAACUGAGACACGGUCCAGACUCCUACGGGAGGCAGCAGUGGGGAAUUUUGGACAAUGGGCGCAAGCCUGAUCCAGCCAUGCCGCGUGAGUGAAGAAGGCCUGUUGU
Molecule: ribosomal RNA, 390 nt
Filed under: uncultured bacterium
Lineage: Bacteria
Description: bacterial SSU rRNA
Rfam family: Bacterial small subunit ribosomal RNA
Source: RNAcentral